Molecule: microRNA precursor, 63 nt
Filed under: Meleagrid alphaherpesvirus 1 (Turkey herpesvirus)
Lineage: Duplodnaviria; Heunggongvirae; Peploviricota; Herviviricetes; Herpesvirales; Orthoherpesviridae
Description: microRNA hvt-mir-H10 precursor
Gene: hvt-mir-H10
Rfam family: hvt-mir-H9 microRNA precursor family
Source: miRBase by way of RNAcentral
GGUCCUUCUCGCGGAUAGCGUAGAUGUCUCUAUUCGUUAACAGCUACAUUGUCCGCAGGGAUC